Molecule: ribosomal RNA, 497 nt
Filed under: uncultured bacterium
Lineage: Bacteria
Description: partial 16S ribosomal RNA
Rfam family: Bacterial small subunit ribosomal RNA
Source: RNAcentral
GAUGAACGCUGGCGGCGUGCCUAAUACAUGCAAGUCGAGCGAACAGACGAGGAGCUUGCUCCUCUGACGUUAGCGGCGGACGGGUGAGUAACACGUGGAUAACCUACCUAUAAGACUGGGAUAACUUCGGGAAACCGGAGCUAAUACCGGAUAAUAUAUUGAACCGCAUGGUUCAAUAGUGAAAGACGGUUUUGCGGUCACUUAUAGAUGGAUCCGCGCCGCAUUAGCUAGUUGGUAAGGUAACGGCUUACCAAGGCAACGAUGCGUAGCCGACCUGAGAGGGUGAUCGGCCACACUGGAACUGAGACACGGUCCAGACUCCUACGGGAGGCAGCAGUAGGGAAUCUUCCGCAAAGGGCGAAAGCCUGACGGAGCAACGCCGCGUGAGUGAUGAAGGUCUUCGGAUCGUAAAACUCUGUUAUUAGGGAAGAACAAAUGUGUAAGUAACUAUGCACGUCUUGACGGUACCUAAUCAGAAAGCCACGGCUAACUACGUG